AGAGACCGAUAGCGAACAAGUANNGUGAGGGNNNGAUGAAAAGAACUUUGAAAAGAGAGUUAAAUAGUACGUGAAAUUGUUGAAAGGGAAACGAUUAAAGUCAGUCAUGUUGGUAGGGAAUCAACUUGAUGGUAUGCGGGUUUACUCGUGUUCUUKCRAGUGCACUUCCUU
Molecule: ribosomal RNA, 171 nt
Filed under: uncultured Acaulospora
Lineage: Eukaryota; Fungi; Glomeromycota; Glomeromycetes; Diversisporales; Acaulosporaceae
Description: partial 25S ribosomal RNA
Rfam family: Eukaryotic large subunit ribosomal RNA
Source: RNAcentral